This is a non-coding RNA of Pantherophis guttatus, 500 nucleotides long. Lineage: Eukaryota; Metazoa; Chordata; Lepidosauria; Squamata; Colubridae. The record is from RefSeq and is a predicted model, not a curated record.
GAGAGUUCUCUUUUGUAGCAAAGGCCUUUACAGACAUUACUGAUUAAGUCAGACAGAGGGUUGCAGAUGUUUAUUGAAAGGAGAGAUCGAAUGGAUAAAUAUAUUAAGGAUCCUGGAAUUAGGGAAUCUCUGAACUAGGAUGGACAACAUCAGGAGUCAAGAGUCCACACGAGAAUCAGUUGCACAGAGUUGGGAAAACUUACUAUCUUUUGGAUGUGUGGCCGAGAGGAUGACGCUGUGCUUCUUCCUCACUUCUUCUACAACAUCUGAGAUUUUAGAGAUAUAUUUCCUAACUUCCUCAACCUUUGAAAAGGAGAAAAAAAGACAUCAAGAAGAAGCAGGUUUAAAUUUACAGAUUGUUAGUGCUCUAUUGUAGAUGGUAAGUGGCAUCCAGGCAGACUCAUCAAUCAAUCAAUCAAUCAUAAACGCAGGCAGUCCUUGACUUGGAACAGUUCAUUUAGUUCAUUUAGUGACCCUAUAAACAGCCUUGAAAAAAAAAA